GCCCCGGAGUGAAGUGGAGUGGAGUGGAUAGGGGUAGACUUUUCACACGGGGUCAAAUUAUUACAGGAUAUCUGCACCCCCCAUUCCGAAUCACUCGGGCGCAUCGGUUACUUCAGCAGGUUCUCUGCAUCACGGACCCUUUUAAGGCUCAGGAAUUUAACAUGGAAAUUAUUGGCCAUAAUGGUUGGUGACACUAUCAAACUCAUAGUCACUGUAUAACGAUGUGCGUCCUGAAAACAGGAAUAAUAAUAAUGUCCUGGUGGAUAUUUAGAGCUAAAAGAAGUGGAAAGAGUUCUUUCAGUUUACCCUUCACCUGCUACUUCGGGGUUAAGUGAUUAAAUAAUUCCACAAAAAAAAAAAUAAAGAAACACUCUUAAUCUUC
Molecule: non-coding RNA, 382 nt
Organism: Chlorocebus sabaeus (green monkey)
Lineage: Eukaryota; Metazoa; Chordata; Mammalia; Primates; Cercopithecidae
Source: RefSeq, a predicted model, not a curated record